Neopsephotus bourkii (Bourke's parrot) is the source of this 1935-nucleotide long non-coding RNA. RefSeq lists it as uncharacterized. The record is from RefSeq and is a predicted model, not a curated record. Lineage: Eukaryota; Metazoa; Chordata; Aves; Psittaciformes; Psittacidae. The transcript has 3 exons.
AUAGCAAGAAACUAAUAAAGCAAAAUCAUUUCAGCUUGAUAACCAGUUCUAAAAAUCUGCAAGACAUACAGUUUCUGUGUCAUGAAGUAAUAUCCCAAAGGAAGUUAAUGGAUACAAAUAUAUCUCAGCAAAAUAGUAAGGAAGCUACAACUGGUGGUAACUGAAAAUCUUCGUUAUCUCUAGAUCUAAUCUUUAUUAUGUCAAGAUCCUGUGGAAUUGAGAACAAAUUGAGGGUAAAUCCAACUGGAUUUUAAACUAGUGGAUUUUCUAUGCUACAGGGCAAAUGUGUUAAUCUAAGAAAACUGAGAAAAAUAGGCUUUUUGUACUUUGGAAAAUGCAAUUACAGACUGUUGCAAGGUUUAAGGAAAUGACAUGGUUAUCUCUGCUUGUGACAAAAUCUUUCCUCUAGUACAAUUCCAGUGAUCUGCUUGCUUUUGCCAUGUCUGAGUAAGACAGGGUUUGUUUGUUGUUUUUUUUUUUUUUAAUUUUUAAUAAUGAAGAAGCAGAAUAUGUAAAAUAUUCCAUGGUGUAAAAACAAACCAAGACUGAUUGACUGUUUGAUCUUUCUAAAUUAAAUGUGCAAAAUUCUCUUGAGCAUUUGGAGAAUGACCCAACCACUUGGACCUCUGCCUGGUUGGUGUCCUAUCCUGGACUCUUCAUAAGGGCUGCUCUUCAUAGCUGAUUGGUUGCUUCACCAGUAGUGAAGGAUAAUGAGCUUCAAGGACUGUGGGAACCUGCAGUUGAAGCAGAACUGAGGUAUCCUGCAAAAACAUUAAAAGGACAAUGGGGGAUCACACUUGAGGGGGAGAGGAAGUGCAGAACUACCAUGUGACUACUUGAAUAAGAAAGCUUUAUGUUGAGACUCAUUAAAUGCCAUCCUUUUUGCUUGUUCUCCUUGACUAGGACUAAUAUGCCAUUUGAAUGUUUUAUAUUGCCUGUGAACAAUUUUAUAUUAUGAAUGAUGCUAGCAGAAUCAAAGUGCAGCGGCUACUGCAUGUAAAAGUCACAGUUCCCCUGUAGCCAAAUGACAUUGAAAUACAGCUGAAGAUCCCAACAAUCAACCAUUGCAUAUACAAGCUGGGGCUCGGGGGGAGGGUAAGCAACAGAAGUAUCACUGCAGAGAAUAGUUAUCCCAGAGCUAGAAUUACCUGAUGUGGGCAAAAAUUGUUAAAUAGUUCACUCCCUUAAGGUCUUGCUUGGCUUUAACUAAAAAUAAACUUAUCGUCAUCUGCCAGUAGAAAAGAUCUGCUAUGUGGCCUAAAUGGGAGCUUGUCUUCUUGACCAGUAAUAAGAGCAUAUUUCUGCAACAGGGGAAAACCAGUCUCAGUUCUGCCAUUCUUAAAAUCUAAUUCAGAGCAGUGAUUGCAGUUGGUGCUGCCAUAUUUGCAAUGACAGUUCCAUCCUCAAUUAAUAUAUGCAUGUAUGUGUAUGAUCUAUCUAUGUAUAGAUAUGUAGUCUCAUUAUACUCACCCAGUGUGGUAAAACAGGUGAAGCAUGUUAACAUUACGCUUUAGGAUCACUACGCAAGGACUGAAAUGGAUUAGCAAAUUAUGUGUUCUUGGUAGCAGGAUAAGCAAUGAAUCACAAACAAAUUGUUGCUUUCUGCUAAAUCAGCACAAACCUGAAUGUCCCCAUUGUUAAUUAUUUAUGAGCUUGUUUUAAUAGUUUCCUGUAGCAGUCAGAUUAAAAUCUACUAAUAUUAUUCCAAAAAAUAAAAACCUUGUUCUCUGCUGCUUUGUAGUGAUAUACAUCUGAGUAAUGUCAGUGUAAAAUGUUAUCAUUCUGUUGUGGUAGAGCUCUACACCCACUUUUUGCUAGUGUCAAUAACUACACAUGCUAAGAAACUAUGCAUGCAUGGAACCAAGCCUUUAAAAUAAAGUUCAAUAAGCAAAUUGAGCAGAGUUGUCAGAGAAAUGUGAGCUGUAGUGCUGUUGU